RNAcentral lists this long non-coding RNA (1094 nucleotides) under Anser brachyrhynchus (Pink-footed goose). Its description in RNAcentral is "lncRNA (ENSABRG00000001694.1)". The record is from RNAcentral. Lineage: Eukaryota; Metazoa; Chordata; Aves; Anseriformes; Anatidae.
CUCUUGCUGUCCUGGAGAAGUAACAUCACCUACAGCUUCUCAUGAGCUCUUUGGAAGCAAUAGGUGCUGGUUUCUGACCAGGCUUCUUGGGUAGCCUCCCUGCUCCGGUAGGGAAGUGGUGGGUGGUGCAGACGUGCAGCAGCUUGAGUGGUGUGAGCCAAGGGUGGUGGGGUCCUUCAUGCUAAAAUCUGGCUGUUCUGCUUUGCUCCAGGCCUAUUGUUUCCUUCCUUUUUUUAGAAGGAACCUGGAAGCUAGAGACACCCAGUUAGAAACUUCCCUGCGUGGUCAGGGAUCCUCACCCCGCUCUAGGUAUUUGUUCUUUUGGGGGCACCUGCAGAGCCUGACAUCUCCUGGCUUCAGGGAGUGCUUUUGGGUUAGGCCCUUGGCUGCGCUGUUAGUGGUCUGCGUAGGCUUUGGGAGCCCGUGUGUCCCCCGGUCAGCCGUCUCCUCUCCCAGCUCCCCAGCCAGCCUCCUGCAGCAGUGAUGGGGAAGCCCUGGCUGCCGUCGGUGUUGGUAGGCGGUAGUGGCGUGCUACGAAGCCUUUCGAAAAUGGAGACAAAGAAGCCACCGGCCUGGUAAGGAGAGCUCUGUGGUGGGUGGAAGGGGGAGCCGCGGGUGGCCCUGAGCCCGCGGGGCUCUGCUGGGCCAGGCUUGGGGCGGGCGGCUGGGGAAGGCGCAGGGCAGCAGCGCUGCUCCUGAGCGUCUGUCUGCCAGUUUUGGGGAUUCCUGAGCCGUGUACAAGGGAUUUCCUGGCAUCUCUUUAUGUAAGGGCUCUGGAUUGAUGCUUAGCCCCCGGAUUUACGUGGCUGUUACGUAGCUGCGUUCUUGGACCCAGCUACAGCCCUGGUCUCCAGCCUGCUGCGUCAGGGAGCGCCGGAGCGUCACGUUGGGUGUUAGGAGAGGUGAGAUCGUGGCAGGGCCUUCCGAUACCCCGCGUCUCGGUGUUCGAGGCAGGGGGGCUGCGUGUGCGGGCUCUGAGCCCCUCCUGCUCUAACAGCCCCCCGCCACCGCCUCCAGCCCCCAGCGCGCCCUGAGAGCAGCUCCCCUGUGGGGCUUGGCUGGGCCACGGAAUAAAAAUAACAAUAAUAAUAACA